AUUGAACGCUGGCGGCAGGCCUAACACAUGCAAGUCGAGCGGAUGAAGGGAGCUUGCUCCUGGAUUCAGCGGCGGACGGGCGAGUAAUGCCUAGGAAUCUGCCUGGUAGUGGGGGAUAACGUCCGGAAACGGGCGCUAAUACCGCAUACGUCCUGAGGGAGAAAGUGGGGGAUCUUCGGACCUCACGCUAUCAGAUGAGCCUAGGUCGGAUUAGCUAGUUGGUGGGGUAAAGGCCUACCAAGGCGACGAUCCGUAACUGGUCUGAGAGGAUGAUCAGUCACACUGGAACUGAGACACGGUCCAGACUCCUACGGGAGGCAGCAGUGGGGAAUAUUGGACAAUGGGCGAAAGCCUGAUCCAGCCAUGCCGCGUGUGUGAAGAAGGUCUUCGGAUUGUAAAGCUCUUUAAGUUGGGAGGAAGGGCAGUACGUUAAUACCUUGCUGUUUUGACGUUACCAACAGAAUAAGCACCGGCUAACUUCGUG
Molecule: ribosomal RNA, 484 nt
Filed under: uncultured bacterium
Lineage: Bacteria
Description: partial 16S ribosomal RNA
Rfam family: Bacterial small subunit ribosomal RNA
Source: RNAcentral